Oncorhynchus keta (chum salmon) is the source of this 948-nucleotide long non-coding RNA. RefSeq lists it as uncharacterized. The record is from RefSeq and is a predicted model, not a curated record. The transcript has 3 exons. Lineage: Eukaryota; Metazoa; Chordata; Actinopteri; Salmoniformes; Salmonidae.
GAGGUGUUACUAUAAUACUGUCUGAUGUUAGAGGUGUUACUAUCCUACUGUCUGAUGUUAGAGGUGUUACUAUCAUACUGUCUGAUGUUAGAGGUGUUACUAUAAUACUGUCUGAUGGUAGAGGUGUUACUAUCAUACUGUCUGAUGUUAGAGGUGUUACUAUAAUACUGUCUGAUGGUAGAGGUGUUACUAUAAUACUGUCUGAUGGUAGAGGUGUUACUAUCCUACUGUCUGAUGUUAGAGGUGUUACUAUCCUACUGUCUGAUGUUAGAGGUGUUACUAUCCUACUGUCUGAUGGUAGAGAUGUGUAAAUAUCCUACUGUCUGAUGUUAGAGGUGUUACUAUCCUACUGUCUGAUGUUAGAGGUGUUACUAUCCUACUGUCUGAUGUUAGAGGUGUUACUAUCAUACUGUCUGAUGUUAGAGGUGUUACUAUCAUACUGUCUGAUGUUAGAGGUGUUACUAUCCUACUGUCUGAUGUUAGAGGUGUUACUAUCCUACUGUCUGAUGGUAGAGGUGUAACUAUCCUACUGUCUGAUGGUAGAGGUGUUACUAUCCUACUGUCUGAUGGUAGAGGUGUUACUAUCAUACUGUCUGAUGGUAGAGGUGUUACUAUCCUACUGUCUGAUGUUAGAGGUGUUACUAUCCUACUGUCUGAUGGUAGAGGUGUUACUAUAAUACUGUCUGAUGUUAGAGGUGUAACUAUCCUACUGUCUGAUGUUAGAGGUGUUACUAUCCUACUGUCUGAUGUUAGAGGUGUUACUAUCCUACUGUCUGAUGGUAGAGGUGUAACUAUCCUACUGUCUGAUGGUAGAGGUGUUACUAUCCUACUGUCUGAUGGUAGAGGUGUUACUAUCAUACUGUCUGAUGGUAGAGGUGUUACUAUCCUACUGUCUGAUGUUAGAGGUGUUACUAUCCUACUGUCUGAUGGUAGAGGUGUUACUAUAAU